This 254-nucleotide ribosomal RNA is filed under the name uncultured bacterium. RNAcentral describes it as "partial 16S ribosomal RNA". It matches the Rfam family "Bacterial small subunit ribosomal RNA", at positions 524 to 776 of the family's 1533-position model. The record is from RNAcentral.
UACAGAGGGGGCAAGCGUUAUUCGGAAUUAUUGGGCGUAAAGGGCGCGUAGGCGGCUUGGCAAGUUUGGCGUGAAAUCUCCGGGCUUAACCCGGAAAUGGCGUUGAAUACUGUUUGAGCUGGAGGUUUGGAGGGGGGACUGGAAUUCUUGGUGUAGCAGUGAAAUGCGUAGAUAUCAAGAGGAACACCAGUGGCGAAGGCGAGUCCCUGGACAACACCUGACACUGAGGCGCGAAAGCUGGGGGAGCAAACAGG